This 686-nucleotide long non-coding RNA is filed under the name Volvox carteri. RNAcentral describes it as "long non-coding RNA (VCAR_LNC001562)". The record is from RNAcentral. Lineage: Eukaryota; Viridiplantae; Chlorophyta; Chlorophyceae; Chlamydomonadales; Volvocaceae.
UCCAAACCGCUUGUUCUUACCCCAAACAGCGCGUACUACUCUCUGAGCCAUGAUCGCCUGACAGCGGUCUGCCUUGGGAAACGGAUUUCCCCGGAUUUCGCAAUGACCAGCGGCUCGAAGGAGUCCAUGAGAUUUGAUAUCUGGUUUGCGAAAAGAAAAUUCUUGGAAAACCUUCUGCCGAACAAAUGCGUUGCAUUUUGAGACAAAACGCAUUUGUCUCAAAAGAAUUGCUCUGCGUAACCAGCUUGGCCGCUGUUCAUGAUCAAAUAAUUUCGUAAGUAAGCGAUAUUGUGUAGUUUACUUCAGGCGUCGCCUUAUUGGGGGAUUAAGGUGGUGACCGGAUUUUUCGUCCAGAACGCAGGGCUCAGGACGGCUCAGGCAUGAUUUAAGCAAUACGCAGCAGUGAAUGCAGGCUUAUGCUAUUCCAUCCAUGCAACCCUGGCCUAGCGUGCACCCGAACAUGUGACAUGAGCUGACUGCGUUGCAUUUCCUUUCCAUUAGGCCUGCACAAUGUGUGCACUUCACGUGACUGCAGGCGUUGGCCGUGUAAUAAUUAUGGACAGCAUGAGCCGUGGACGCCUCUCGUAGUUGUCCUGUAGUUGCACUGUUUUUGACCGGUUGGUCAAUACUUCCGGGUCAACGACUGCCAAAAGCAUCAUCUGCAACUGUUCAGACACUUAGAAUUG